RNAcentral lists this ribosomal RNA (253 nucleotides) under uncultured bacterium. Its description in RNAcentral is "partial 16S ribosomal RNA". It matches the Rfam family "Bacterial small subunit ribosomal RNA", at positions 524 to 776 of the family's 1533-position model. The record is from RNAcentral.
UACGUAGGGGGCUAGCAUUGUCCGGAAUCAUUGGGCGUAAAGAGCGUGUAGGCGGCUUGGUAAGUCCGCUGUGAAAGUCCAGGGCUCAACCCUGGAAUGCCAGUGGAUACUGUCAAGCUAGAGUCCGGAAGAGGCGAGUGGAAUUCCUGGUGUAGCGGUGAAAUGCGCAGAUAUCAGGAGGAACACCAAUGGCGAAGGCAGCUCGCUGGGACGGUACUGACGCUGAGACGCGAAAGCGUGGGGAGCAAACAGG